RNAcentral lists this long non-coding RNA (852 nucleotides) under Marmota monax (woodchuck). Lineage: Eukaryota; Metazoa; Chordata; Mammalia; Rodentia; Sciuridae. The record is from RNAcentral.
ACAUACCAGAAUUAAAACGCGAAAGACCAAGGUCCAAGCCAGAGCCAGGGCAUCCCCGAGUAGGGUGUGCCUAGCCAGUGCCCACAGCCCUGGGCUCCUUGCCUGCUUCGCGCGCACACAGACUUUGUGUACCAAAGAAUGGCAUCAAAAGUACAAGGGCGACCCAAAGAGAAUCUGGAAGUGUUUACCGGUCACUGUGUGGUAGGGGGUUGCUAUCAGGAAGAGAGAACCCCUGAGACUCAGCCAAGAAGCAGCCUGAUUCACAAAGCAGGCGCAGGCCUGGAGAGACACCUCUCCAAAGGGGCACAGUGGCCGGCUAGAGAGGGGACACUCAGCAGCUGUAGCCGCAGGUGCCCCCCCUCACUGGGAUGACUGCGCCAGGCUGCAGGGGAGAAUCGGGGACCUCAGAGGCCUGGCGCACAGUUGGUAAGAAUGUUAAAUGAGCCCAGCACAGGGACACACCUGUCAUCCCAGAGGCUCCCGGGGCCGAGGCAGGAGGUUGGAGAAUGAGAGAUGAAAAGGACUGAGGGCAGCUCGGAGGCAGAGCCCAGGGUCAGUCCCCAGUUCAAAAAAGGUGAGAAGAAAGGAAAGCAGGGCCACUGCUGUAGGGGACAGUCUGGCCGCUCCCCACGUGACCCAGCAGCUCCGAUUGAAGAUAUAUACCCCCAAAACUGAAAUCAGGGUCCUGGGGGGGUGCUUGUACUCCAUGCACACAGCAAUGCUGUCUACCACAGCCGGCACAGAAGCAGCCCAAGUGUCCAUCCACCAAUGAAUGGACAGGCCAUCCACAUCAUGGAAUACUCUUCAGCUCUACAAAGGAAGUUCAUCAUGGUGGCACACCUGUAGUCCCAG